RNAcentral lists this ribosomal RNA (669 nucleotides) under uncultured bacterium. RNAcentral's name for it is "bacterial SSU rRNA". It matches the Rfam family "Bacterial small subunit ribosomal RNA", at positions 8 to 694 of the family's 1533-position model. The record is from RNAcentral.
AGAGUUUGAUCCUGGCUCAGGACGAACGCUGGCGGCGUGCUUAACACAUGCAAGUCGAACGGAAAGGCCCUUCGGGGUACUCGAGUGGCGAACGGGUGAGUAACACGUGGGUGAUCUGCCCUGCACUUUGGGAUAAGCCUGGGAAACUGGGUCUAAUACCGAAUAUGACCAUGCGCCUCCUGGUGUGUGGUGGAAAGCCUUUGCGGUGUGGGAUGGGCCCGCGGCCUAUCAGCUUGUUGGUGGGGUAAUGGCCUACCAAGGCGACGACGGGUAGCCGGCCUGAGAGGGUGACCGGCCACACUGGGACUGAGAUACGGCCCAGACUCCUACGGGAGGCAGCAGUGGGGAAUAUUGCACAAUGGGCGCAAGCCUGAUGCAGCGACGCCGCGUGAGGGAUGACGGCCUUCGGGUUGUAAACCUCUUUCAGCACAGACGAAGCGCAAGUGACGGUAUGUGCAGAAGAAGGACCGGCCAACUACGUGCCAGCAGCCGCGGUAAUACGUAGGGUCCGAGCGUUGUCCGGAAUUACUGGGCGUAAAGAGCUCGUAGGUGGUUUGUCGCGUUGUUCGUGAAAACUCACAGCUUAACUGUGGGUGUGCGGGCGAUACGGGCAGACUUGAGUACUGCAGGGGAGACUGGAAUUCCUGGUGUAGCGGUGAAAUGCGUAGA